CUGCGGAAGGAUCAUUACCUAGAGUUGUAGGCUUUGCCUGCUAUCUCUUACCCAUGUCUUUUGAGUACCUUACGUUUCCUCGGCGGGUCCGCCCGCCGAUUGGACAAUUUAAACCAUUUGCAGUUGCAAUCAGCGUCUGAAAAAACUUAAUAGUUACAACUUUCAACAACGGAUCUCUUGGUUCUGGCAUCGAUGAAGAACGCAGCGAAAUGCGAUAAGUAGUGUGAAUUGCAGAAUUCAGUGAAUCAUCGAAUCUUUGAACGCACAUUGCGCCCCUUGGUAUUCCAUGGGGCAUGCCUGUUCGAGCGUCAUUUGUACCUUCAAGCUCUGCUUGGUGUUGGGUGUUUGUCUCGCCUCUGCGUGUAGACUCGCCUCAAAACAAUUGGCAGCCGGCGUAUUGAUUUCGGAGCGCAGUACAUCUCGCGCUUUGCACUCAUAACGACGACGUCCAAAAGUACAUUUUUACACUCUUGACCUCGGAUCAGGUAGGGAUACCCGCUGAACUUAAGCAUAUCAAUAAGCGGAGGA
Molecule: ribosomal RNA, 528 nt
Filed under: Alternaria alternata
Lineage: Eukaryota; Fungi; Ascomycota; Dothideomycetes; Pleosporales; Pleosporaceae
Also listed under: 1 other name
Description: eukaryotic LSU rRNA
Rfam family: 5.8S ribosomal RNA (bases 158-311)
Source: RNAcentral